AAAAAAUAAAAAUAAAAUAUAACUUUUUAAAAUAAAAAAUAAUAAAAUAAAUAAAAUAAAAUAUAACUUUUUGGCAUUUGAGGACCCAACUCCUCAUUCAAUCUGUAAUCAUGAAAAUGGGUAUAUUUUAUUCCCAGUGCUCCAGUAAGUGUUCUUUUCCAACUUCAUUGACUGGAAAGUAGCGGAGCACAGCGCCUGAGGAAUGAGGAAUCUUUUUCAUCUCAUCCAUUUCUUUCUUUGGCGAAAUGCAAGGCCGCAAAUGAAGAUGAGGGGAUUUCUGGAUCUGCGCAUAUACCCUGAACCCGUUCUACGGUAUUAAGUUAAAUUAUAUUAGAAAUAUGGAAUACGAUGCUAUUUUAGUUCUACGAUAUUAAGUUAAAAUAUAUUAGAAAUAUGGAAUACAAUGCUAUUUUAUAAUAUUCGUUCUACGAUAUUAUGUUCUAUGAUAUUGGAAAAAUAAAGUAUAAAGCCAUGUCUCCUAUAUUAGUUCUACUAUAUUAUGUCAUAUCAGUGUUUCCCCUAAGGGGGAUAUAAUGGUAGGGAAAACACUGUAUAUGAUAUUAAGUUAUAUAAUAUUAUAAAUACUAAGUAUGAUGC
Long non-coding RNA from Gasterosteus aculeatus aculeatus (three-spined stickleback), 597 nucleotides. The record is from Ensembl. NCBI's taxonomy places the organism in Eukaryota, Metazoa, Chordata, Actinopteri, Perciformes, Gasterosteidae.